RNAcentral lists this ribosomal RNA (253 nucleotides) under uncultured bacterium. RNAcentral describes it as "partial 16S ribosomal RNA". It matches the Rfam family "Bacterial small subunit ribosomal RNA", at positions 524 to 776 of the family's 1533-position model. The record is from RNAcentral.
UACGUAGGGUGCAAGCGUUAAUCGGAAUUACUGGGCGUAAAGCGUGCGCAGGCGGUUAUGUAAGACAGGUGUGAAAUCCCCGGGCUUAACCUGGGAACUGCAUUUGUGACUGCAUAGCUAGAGUACGGUAGAGGGGGAUGGAAUUCCGCGUGUAGCAGUGAAAUGCGUAGAGAUGUGGAGGAAUACCGAUGGCGAAGGCAGCCUCCUGGGCCAACACUGACGCUCAUGCACGAAAGCGUGGGGAGCAAACAGG